This 652-nucleotide long non-coding RNA is filed under the name Capra hircus (goat). Its description in RNAcentral is "lncRNA (ENSCHIG00010004170.1)". Lineage: Eukaryota; Metazoa; Chordata; Mammalia; Artiodactyla; Bovidae. The record is from RNAcentral.
ACCCGUCUCCCCGAGCCCCGCUUCUGCAGCCCCGAGCUGGGGAGCCCCCCUACCUGGCCGGCCGACUUGGCGCAGGGGAGGUGCUGAGUCGGCGGAGAGCCCGAGUGGGAAUGCGGCAGGUCUGCUUUGCGGUACCCUGGCGCGAGCCGCGGCCGCCGCAGCAUCCGAAGGGCGCCGGGGCCAGCGCGCCACCCUUGCCCCUGGUCCUGCUUCCUUCAGUCGGCCAGUUGCUUUACUCGGCAGCUACGGCGGAAAUGUCCAUUCCCUACGCCCAUGCUCACCCGUGGCCGGCAGCUUGGAGACGCCACUCUGUCUCUUGUCUCUCUCUGUGUGUGCGGGGAGUUCCGGAGGCUGCGGAUCGGAAGAGCAAAAUGCCACCCUCUCCGGAGCUCUGAAGCGAAUGACGAUACGGAGCGCUUUCGCCCCCUCCCAGCACCGUGGGAGCCCUUGAUUCGAUCCCGAAGGAGGCGAGUGAGCUAGGGCCUGGAUCUACAGGGCUCGCGGGUCUCCCCCGCCGCCUCCAGUACACCCCCGCGCGCGGACCUCGGCGAGGCUACGCGGAGCGCUGGGAGCCGUUCGCAGCGCCGAGUGGGGCAGGGUGCGUGCGGCGCGGGUCCCCUCGGUCCAUUUCUGGGCGCUGCUAGAUCAGCAG